RNAcentral lists this non-coding RNA (203 nucleotides) under Drosophila virilis. Its description in RNAcentral is "Eukaryotic large subunit ribosomal RNA". It matches the Rfam family "Eukaryotic large subunit ribosomal RNA", at positions 1 to 190 of the family's 3401-position model. Lineage: Eukaryota; Metazoa; Arthropoda; Insecta; Diptera; Drosophilidae. The record is from Rfam by way of RNAcentral.
CAACCUCAACUCAUAUGGGACUACCCCCUGAAUUUAAGCAUAUUAAUUAGGGGAGGAAAAGAAACUAACAAGGAUUUUCUUAGUAGCGGCGAGCGAAAAGAAAUCAGUUCAGCACUAAGUCACUUUGUCUAUAUGGCAAAUGUGAGAUGCAGUGUACGGAACAUCAACAUUCUAGUAUGAGCAAGUUAACGAUUUAAGUCCCU